GCCUGGGUGGCUCAGUUGGUUGAGCGUCUGACUUCGGCUCAGGUCAUGAUUUCACAGUUUGUGAGUUCAAGCCCCGCAUCAGGCU
Molecule: transfer RNA, 85 nt
Filed under: Felis catus (domestic cat)
Lineage: Eukaryota; Metazoa; Chordata; Mammalia; Carnivora; Felidae
Rfam family: tRNA
About the family: Transfer RNA (tRNA) molecules are approximately 80 nucleotides in length. Their secondary structure includes four short double-helical elements and three loops (D, anti-codon, and T loops).
Source: Rfam by way of RNAcentral